RNAcentral lists this ribosomal RNA (368 nucleotides) under uncultured organism. RNAcentral's name for it is "bacterial SSU rRNA". It matches the Rfam family "Bacterial small subunit ribosomal RNA", at positions 526 to 896 of the family's 1533-position model. The record is from RNAcentral.
CGAGGGUGGCAAGCGUUAUCCGGAUUUACUGGUUUAAAGGGUAGCGCAGGUGGGUAGGAAAGUCAGUGGUGAAAUCUUCGGGCUUAACCCGGAAACUGCCAUUGAUACUAUUUAUCUUGAAUACUUUGGAGGUAAGCGGAAUAUGUCAUGUAGCGGUGAAAUGCUUAGAUAUGACAUAGAACACCAAUUGCGAAGGCAGCUUACUACACAGUUAUUGACACUGAGGCACGAAAGCGUGGGGAUCAAACAGGAUUAGAUACCCUGGUAGUCCACGCCCUAAACGAUGGAUACUCGACAUCAGCGAUACACUGUUGGUGUCUGAGCGAAAGCAUUAAGUAUCCCACCUGGGAAGUACGAUCGCAAGAUUG